Molecule: long non-coding RNA, 495 nt
Organism: Rosa rugosa (rugosa rose)
Lineage: Eukaryota; Viridiplantae; Streptophyta; Magnoliopsida; Rosales; Rosaceae
Exons: 3
Source: RefSeq, a predicted model, not a curated record
UAGUUCCAGUUUAUGAAUUUUUUUAGUUCAUACUAUUGCUGUAGUAACAUUUUUCAUAUGCUUAAAGCAUAGGAUCUAUCCACUAUCAUUAUAUUGAUCAGGACAAAGCUGCAAUUUGGUCACUGUAAAGAAUAAAACAAUGGUUCUCCAGCUUCACAUGGACAAAGCUAAGGAUUUGUUGAACCAAAUUGUGGAAUCUGCAAUUAUGAUAAUCAAAGAUUGGGAGUGGGUUGUUAUUGAAAACCAUGGCAGGACUUUAGAUUCAGCUGUGGCUAGAAGUUUCACAAAAACUCUAAUCUGCAGGAUGGUGUUUGGGAGUGAUUGAAAUACUUAUGAACAAUGUCUCUACACAAGGUUGAUUGGUUGAAGGUUGUGUUUUGUGGGUGCUAGAAGAGAAAAGAAAAGAUAUACAAGUUACUUGCUUACUAGAAUUUAGGGAUAGGGGUUUAAUUUGAUGUAAUAAGUUCUACUAAUAUAUAUAAAUCUAAUUGUUAU